This is a long non-coding RNA of Choloepus didactylus (southern two-toed sloth), 1020 nucleotides long. RefSeq lists it as uncharacterized. NCBI's taxonomy places the organism in Eukaryota, Metazoa, Chordata, Mammalia, Pilosa, Megalonychidae. The record is from RefSeq and is a predicted model, not a curated record. The transcript is spliced from 6 exons.
GGAAACUGAGAAGAAACAAGCAGCAGAGCUGGGGUGUUAACCUUAGAGGAUCAGGGACUCGAUUUUUCCUAAAAUGUCAUCAUACACUGAAUGAGAAUUAAUCUUCAUGUGAAUCCCUAGACCAAUCAGCUAAAGCCAGGGAGGCAGGACCAGGUCAAGAAUUUGGGUGCAGUUUAGUUGUGUUUCAUUAUCUCUCCUGAGGUUGCAAUCAAAUUUUGACCAGGUUCAUCUGAAGGCUUGGCUGAGGUGAAAUGAAGCAAAGAAAGAUGAAGUACAGUCCCAGAGGCACACUGUGAGCAGCAGAAGCAUAUUUCAAAAGUUUUGAUUUUUAAGUCUCUGUCAACAUUCACCUUCUUCAUCCAGAGUACUCUUUCUUGUCUUGGCUUCGAUGUUGAGCUCAUUUGCCUCUUCUGAGAAUGAAUGUCUAUAAAGAUGGAAAAAUUACAUAGCAAAUGGAGAAAAGUUUCUGUUUUCCUGAAUGCCCAGCUUUGACAUGUGGACUUCCUUCAGUGUAUAAGAAUCUUCUAUCACGGCAAGAAAGUGAAAACCUUCAUAACAUCAUCAUUCCAAGCAGGCGGGACUGGACAGCAGGGAACUGGUGGCGGCUCGCAGCAUGCCUGGAAAUCCAGGCAGAGGAUAGAACAAUGCACACAUCACGGGGGUCCUGGGCUGCCACAGGUUGUAACUGUCUCUGUGAAAUCACUUUCCCCAGCGCUCCCCACUGCCCGCGGAGGCACUGACCAUCAGCACACCUUGCCGAGGUCACUCCACCGAUGUCCAGAUGCCCAGUUUCCGAUUCGCAUAAGGAAUAUGAAGGUGGUCCUGAUGGAGCAUUUGGUUUGGUUUAACUGAUUUAGUCCAGUUGUUUGAAAACAUAUUGUCUUAAAGAGCAGGCUAUUUAUCAUAUUUCACUAUCUUUCCGUUGAAGUUUGAGAAGGGGGAAAAGCAGUGUACAUUUUCCUGAUUUGAUUUUACUUUCUCAUAUCUAAGAAAUAAACUCUUCUAUUACUUUGUGAUAGC